Non-coding RNA from Hydra vulgaris (swiftwater hydra), 819 nucleotides. The record is from RefSeq and is a predicted model, not a curated record. NCBI's taxonomy places the organism in Eukaryota, Metazoa, Cnidaria, Hydrozoa, Anthoathecata, Hydridae.
UUAUUUAUAUUGUGUUUUAUUGUGUAUAUGUGUGUUAAGGUUAUAUGGGUUUAUAUUUUGUAAGUGUGUAAAUAUAUGAAAUGUUUCAAUGUUUGUGGUGUGUUAUAUGUAAUCAGUAUUGCAGUGCAAAGAAGUUUUUAAAUGAAACUCAUUUUUUGUGCUGCCAUUCAAGAAAAGUUGUAUUAGCUCCUCUUUCUCUUUAUCCGCCAUUGUUGACUGGUUUAAUGACAGGAAACCAUGUUGAUCAUGCUGUAAAUCAAAAUUUUUUUAAACACAUAAGGAGUUAUAAUUCCUCUUUAUUUUUUGCUUCCUUCACUGCCGAAAUAGCUCCUCCCUCAAAUAAUGGCCGAUUCUGUUUUAGGGUCUGUGGGCAAAUUUUGCAUCGUGUUGGAAAUUUAAGGCCUGCAGAAGGUUGUCUGCCCAAAUAUUGUCAGCUGUAUAUCUAUGAUCCUAAUGCAGCUUAUUACAUUGAUUGAUUGUUUUUAUUGCAUUUUUAAUUUUCUUUUAUUUAUCUCUAGCUGCUGCUUCUUCUGUUACAACUGCUGCUUCUUCUGUUACAAGCUCGAAGUCAUGGGAAGAUUUCCGAAAGUAUCGCUCCCAGCAUCCAGGCCCUCUAUCUAUGAGGGCCUUCCAUCGCUAGUGUUUGUAUGGGGACAACCAUCCCUCCUUUAGAUGGAGGGAUGGCACACCAUACAACACGGGGAAUAGAGCGGAUGCUGGGAGGAGAAGACAACGUGGCUCAAAAGUUGUCAAUAAUUUUUUUACAUUUUAAAAUGUAAAGAAAUUGACAACUUUUGAGCCACUUCAUUUUUUUUUUGU